Molecule: ribosomal RNA, 451 nt
Filed under: uncultured bacterium
Lineage: Bacteria
Description: partial 16S ribosomal RNA
Rfam family: Bacterial small subunit ribosomal RNA
Source: RNAcentral
GUGGGGAAUAUUCCGCAAUGGACGAAAGUCUGACGGAGCAACGCCGCGUGAGUGAUGAAGGUUUUCGGACUGUAAAGCUCUGUUGUUUAGGACGAAAGUGCCUGUUGCAAAUAGUUACAGGUAUUGACGGUACUGAACGAGGAAGCCACGGCUAACUACGUGCCAGCAGCCGCGGUAAUACGUAGGUGGCAAGCGUUGUCCGGAAUCAUUGGGCGUAAAGAGCGCGUAGGUGGCUUGUCAGGUCUGAUGUGAAAUCCUGGGGCUCAACCCCAGGCCUGCAUCAGAAACCGGCUUGCUAGAGUCUGGGAGAGGAGAGUGGAAUUCCUGGUGUAGCGGUGAAAUGCGUAGAUAUCAGGAGGAACACCGGUAGCGAAGGCGGCUCUCUGGAACAGUACUGACGCUGAGGCGCGAAAGCUAGGGGAGCGAACAGGAUUAGAAACCCCUGUAGUCC